AAUUCCCAUCACCCCCCCCCAUCCUGGGCAUCCCCAUCAGACCCAUCCCGGGCAUCCCUGUCGCUUCCCAUCACCCCCAUCCUGGGCAUCCUCAUCACCCCCAUCCUGGACAUCCCCAUUGCCCUCAUCCCCAGCACUCCCAUCACUCCCAUCCUGGGCAUCCCCAUUGCUUCCCAUCACCCUCUAUCCCAGCAAUCCUCAUCACCCCCAUCCCAGGCAUCCCCAUCGCUUCCCAUUGCCCCCCAUCCCGGCUACCCCCAUCUCCCCCAUCCUGGGCAACUUCAUCACUCCCCAUCCCAGUCAUCCCCAUCACACCCAUCCCGGGUGGCCAGGAUGUCCCACGUGGCCAGGACACCACGGUCCCUGGGGUGGCGUCCCCACCACCCAGUACCUAUUGCCUGGCUCCCAUCCAUGGGAGCCCGGGGCAACGGGGCGAAGGCCACCCGCGCAGGGCCAGGACAGGGCAAUGGCAGCACCCUGGAGCGGGCAGGCUCCCGCGGGGUGCCCCCAGCCCGGGGUGCCACGGUGCCACCACGCAGGUUUCCACGAGCGCAACGGGAAGCCGUACUGCCGCCAGGACUUCCUGGCCAUGUUCGCGCCCAAGUGCCAGGGCUGCGAGCACCCCGUGACGGACGACUACCUGUCGGCCCUGCAAGGCGUCUGGCACCCCGAGUGCUUCGUGUGCGCGGAUUGCCUGUGCUGCUUCGCCAGCGGCUCCUUCUUCGAGCUGGAGGGUCGACCCUACUGCGAGCUGCACUUCCACCAGCGCCAGGGCAGCGCCUGCCACGGCUGCGGGCGCCCCGUGGCCGGCCGCUGCGUCACGGCUGCCGGGCGCAAGUACCACCCCGAGCACUUCAUCUGCGCCUACUGCCUGGGCCAGCUGCAGAAGGGCGGCUUCCGCGAGCGCGCCGACAAGCUCUACUGCCGGGCCUGCCACGACAAGCUCUUCCUGUGACCAGCGCCGGCGUCCCCACCGGCGUCCCCAUCCCCCCCCCCCGCGAAGGAAUAAACAGCGCCGAAGCCGGAGCCCACCCAAACCUUGUCCCCUUGUCGUGGAGAUGUGUUAUAACCUGGGCUAUUCCCCUCAUCCGGCUGCCUCCCCGCAGCUGCCAUGCCGGCCCCCGCCUCGCACUCCUUUUCGGGAAGGGGUCACAGCCUUGCUUUCGGAAGGGCUCGGGGGGGGGGAUUCAGCCUGCGCGGUGCUGCCAGCCCCGGGCGCAGGAAGCAGGCUGGCUGCCUGCAGCGCGUGGGAACUCUUAUCGGGGCGCCGGCGGGGGUAAGAUUUUCAGCCGCAUCCGGCCUCGCACACAACCCCCCCCUACCGAGAGCGGCUCCAGGCCGCCCCGCCGCCGCACGGGAGCGAGCGGGCCAAAAAACUUCCCCGGGAUGUGGCUGCAGCCCUGGAAGUCGCCCACCUGCCAGGGAAAGGUCGUCCCCACCGGCUCGUCCCACCCUUACUCCCGACCCCUUCCCGGAUUCGGCCACCACCAGCAGCUCCCACAAACCUGGGGGCUUCCGGGCAGCAGCACAACAGGCCUGUGCACUAAGGGAACAUUUGGGGCUGCCCCCAUGGCAAUGCGGGGGGGGGGGAAGACAGGGGCUGGAGCCCCCUUUGGAGAGCGACCCAAGUUUAGCGUUUCUCACCCCAAAAUAAUUUGGGAGGGGCAGGGCCGCAAUUGAAGGGCCCGGCCGCCGCGCAGGAUGCGGGAAGCCAGCAGCGCCGCCCAACCGCUGCGAAGCCGAGAAGCCGUUUCCUCCGUCAGGCCGCGGUUACAGGGCANNNNNNNNNNNNNNNNNNNNNNNNNNNNNNNNNNNNNNNNNNNNNNNAAAAAAAAAAAAAAAAAAAAGAAUCGUUUCGGGUGAAAUCGUUGCAGCGUGAAACCAGGCGGAAGGUUUAAAGCCGGUUUUAAGCAGAGCUCAGAGGGUUGCAUGCAAGAGCUGCAGUACUCGAUACUAAACAGAGAUAAGGACCAGGCCUAGGGCAUUUCACACUUCACUACCCCCCCCCCACAACACUUGCCUCGGCGCACGCGCCCCCACACUUUAAAAACUUUAUUUAUAUAAAAAAAUCAUUUCGUUUUAAAAGCGUUACAAGAGUGUGCACAGGAAUCAAGACAACGAACAGCAGGUUGCCCCCUAGCUCCCCUCUGUCCUCCCCCCGCCACUCCCGGGAGAGCCAGGGAUGAGAGGAGGGAAGGGGGGAAGCUUUGGGGGUUUUGUUUUGUUUUGUUUUUUUGGUUCAUCUGGAAUUAAAAAUUAAAAAAAGAAGGAAUUAGUGUUUUACAUACGUAAGAAACGAAAAGGAGAGUUAGACCCCAGAACAAAACCAAACCGAGCUGAGAUGGGGGCUGGAGGCAGACAGGACUUGCAGCCACGGAGCCGGGAGGUGCUUUCGGGGAGGGGGGGAGCGAGAGGCACGGAUUUACGCGUACCCCCCCUCCGUGCAGUGUGCGGGAGCCCAUGGAGGGGGGGGACAGCACCCAUAGCAAGAAGGGGGGGGGAAGGUCCUCGCCUCCAGCUACAAACUGGGGAGGGCUCCAGCUCCAGUUUGCAGCCUCACAAGGAGGCUUCCAAUUGCACAGGGAGCCCACGGUCCCCCAUCUCCCCCCCCCCAAGAUUGCAGCACUUAAGUGUCCCCUCCCCGGACAGCAGAGGGGACAGGCCUGUGGCGCCCCAGCUC
Molecule: long non-coding RNA, 2680 nt
Organism: Apteryx haastii (Great spotted kiwi)
Lineage: Eukaryota; Metazoa; Chordata; Aves; Apterygiformes; Apterygidae
Source: Ensembl